Molecule: ribosomal RNA, 392 nt
Filed under: uncultured bacterium
Lineage: Bacteria
Description: bacterial SSU rRNA
Rfam family: Bacterial small subunit ribosomal RNA
Source: RNAcentral
AAUGAACGCUGGCGGCGCGCCUAAUACAUGCAAGUCGAGCGAGAAGACGUAGCAAUACGUUUGUAAAGCGGCGAACGGGUGAGGAAUACAUGGGUAACCUACCCUAGAGUGGGGAAUAACUAGCCGAAGGUUAGCUAAUACCGCGUACGCUCCUUGGACUUCGGUUCAGGGAGGAAAGCGAUGCCGAGGGUAUCGCGCUCUUGGAUGGGCUCAUGUCCUAUCAGCUUGNGGUGAGGUAACGGCUCACCAAGGCUUCGACGGGUAGCUGGUCUGAGAGGACGAUCAGCCACACUGGCACUGCGACACGGGCCAGACUCCUACGGGAGGCAGCAGUAAGGAAUAUUGCGCAAUGGGCGAAAGCCUGACGCAGCGACGCCGCGUGGGGGAGUGAA